This 449-nucleotide ribosomal RNA is filed under the name uncultured bacterium. RNAcentral describes it as "partial 16S ribosomal RNA". It matches the Rfam family "Bacterial small subunit ribosomal RNA", at positions 29 to 523 of the family's 1533-position model. The record is from RNAcentral.
AACGAACGCUGGCGGCAGGCUUAACACAUGCAAGUCGAGCGGGCCCUUCGGGGUCAGCGGCAGACGGGUGAGUAACGCGUGGGAAUCUACUCAUCCCUACGGAACAACUCCGGGAAACUGGAGCUAAUACCGUAUACGCCCUUAGGGGGAAAGAUUUAUCGGGGAUGGAUGAGCCCGCGUUGGAUUAGCUAGUUGGUGGGGUAAAGGCCUACCAAGGCGACGAUCCAUAGCUGGUCUGAGAGGAUGAUCAGCCACAUUGGGACUGAGACACGGCCCAAACUCCUACGGGAGGCAGCAGUGGGGAAUAUUGGACAAUGGGCGCAAGCCUGAUCCGGCCAUGCCGCGUGAGUGAUGAAGGCCUUAGGGUUGUAAAGCUCUUUCAGUAGGGAAGAUAAUGACGGUACCUACAGAAGAAGCCCCGGCUAACUUCGUGCCAGCCGCCGCCGUAA